RNAcentral lists this ribosomal RNA (497 nucleotides) under uncultured bacterium. Its description in RNAcentral is "partial 16S ribosomal RNA". It matches the Rfam family "Bacterial small subunit ribosomal RNA", at positions 28 to 507 of the family's 1533-position model. The record is from RNAcentral.
GACGAACGCUGGCGGCGUGCCUAAUACAUGCAAGUGGAGCGCUGAAGGUUGGUACUUGUACCGACUGGAUGAGCAGCGAACGGGUGAGUAACGCGUGGGGAAUCUGCCUUUGAGCGGGGGACAACAUUUGGAAACGAAUGCUAAUACCGCAUAAAAACUUUAAACACAAGUUUUAAGUUUGAAAGAUGCAAUUGCAUCACUCAAAGAUGAUCCCGCGUUGUAUUAGCUAGUUGGUGAGGUAAAGGCUCACCAAGGCGAUGAUACAUAGCCGACCUGAGAGGGUGAUCGGCCACAUUGGGACUGGGACACGGCCCAAACUCCUACGGGAGGCAGCAGUAGGGAAUCUUCGGCAAUGGACGAAAGUCUGACCGAGCAACGCCGCGUGAGUGAAGAAGGUUUUCGGAUCGUAAAACUCUGUUGGUAGAGAAGAACGUUGGUGAGAGUGGAAAGCUCAUCAAGUGACGGUAACUACCCAGAAAGGGACGGCUAACUACGUG